AGCUGUGAGGGCAAUCUGGCUAUGACAUCUGUCACCUUACUGAUUGCCAGGGUUGAUUUGGCUGAUCUGUAUGGCUAGGCGGGUGUCCCCUUCCUUCCUCACUGCUCCAUGUGUGUCCCUCCUGAAGCUGCACAUUCAGUCCUAGAGGACGACCCUCCUUGAUAAAGGAGGACCGUUCUUCCAUCAAGGGCAUCCAAGUAGCUGCAUUCCCCCCCCACCCCGAACCUCCAAACAGGCUCUCAAAGAGCAUUAAACCAAACAUAACUUGAUUUCAAGGAGAACCUGCUAGAAGAGAUGAUCUCAGGCUCCUUGAGCA
RNAcentral lists this small nuclear RNA (316 nucleotides) under Marmota monax (woodchuck). It matches the Rfam family "7SK RNA". Rfam says of the family: 7SK was discovered as an abundant small nuclear RNA in the mid-70s but a possible function has only recently been suggested. The record is from RNAcentral. Lineage: Eukaryota; Metazoa; Chordata; Mammalia; Rodentia; Sciuridae.